Long non-coding RNA from Mauremys reevesii (Reeves's turtle), 1338 nucleotides. RefSeq lists it as uncharacterized. The record is from RefSeq and is a predicted model, not a curated record. NCBI's taxonomy places the organism in Eukaryota, Metazoa, Chordata, Testudines, Geoemydidae. The transcript is spliced from 3 exons.
GGGAGGGUGUGUUGCCCCCAUGACAGGUGCUUAGGAGAGAACAACAGCUACAGAGGCAGCAGCAGCAGUAGCAGUGGUAGUGAUCUGAAGAAAAGAAAAGAAAAGAAAAUGACUAGAUGUGGAAGCUGUGGUAUCAUAGCAUCUGUCAUGUUGAUUACAGCACUUUGUCAUCGAAGGGAUACCAAUGUCAAACUGUAAAGGAAAAAAGUUUAAACUGACUGGAACAAAGAAGAUAAAUCUAUGAAAGCUUAACCUCCACAGCGAGCUCGAGAUUCAUCCUCUCCUGCAAGGCAGUCCACUUCCCUGUUACAGAGGUACUUAUUUGGAAUACACACAUCGGAGUUACAAUGGAAACUGUUGUUGCAUUCUGUAACGAAAAGAGAACUCAAUUUGUAUGGGAUGGGGGUCAAAUGAUUCACCAACCUCACCACUGUAGGAGACCUAAUUUAACUUAACUACAAUGCAGCCACAAUUAUGACAAAAGUAAAAUGUUCAUUAAUAUGUAAUGGAACCAGACACUGGAUACAUAAAGCAAAAUGGAUGCUAUCAAUGCUGUAGACUCCCCAUUUUCUAACUUUAAAACAGAGAUUCAACUUUUCAGGCUUUCAUCAGUUUAGUGCUGUAGUUCUCAAAUUUUUUGAGCAUGACCCAUUACCAGUUUUUUCCAGAACUUUUGCCCACACACAAACCGAGCCAAACACCAACCCACCUUUCAGUCUUGUUAGUGUUCUUGAUUAUUUCAAUGGGAAUUUAGAGUGUUCUGCAUCUCACAAGACUAGGCCCAACAUUUUCAAAAGUAGGAGCCUAAAAGCUAGUCAUCUAAGCCCAUAUUUAGGCACCUACAUGAUUUAGGCGCACAAGUUCUAUUGACUGAAAUGCUUUUGAACAUCCUACUGGGAAGUGCCUAAAUAUAGGAUUAAGAACUGAACUUUAGGCUUGUAUGGUGAAAACAUUGACCAUGGCCCUUAAUUACAGUCAGGCACUCGUAUAUUGGGUGAAACAUUCCUAUAAAUUCAGGUAUCUGACUUUUUUCUCUAUUCUCACAAAAAUGUGAUAUAUUUUGAACAGCAAAGCCAAUGCUUUGCCAGGUUUUCUUGACUUACUUUAUAUUCUCCCAUGCAAAUCUAUAUUCAGGGAUUUUUUUUUAUUUAAUGGAAAAGCUGAUGGUUCCUUAAUACCAGUAUAAGGCCUGGGGAAGACUGCAUUUGACAUCAGUAGGAUUUGGAUCAGGGCCAGACUGAUGAAAAACAGCACUAGACACAUGAACAAGCACUCCUUGGAGUAAAUCCUUUCAUGGAGUCAAGAGGUCUGUUCCUCAGGUGUUCCGUAGUUUAGCAU